This 510-nucleotide ribosomal RNA is filed under the name Martinezella tropici. RNAcentral describes it as "bacterial SSU rRNA". It matches the Rfam family "Bacterial small subunit ribosomal RNA", at positions 44 to 599 of the family's 1533-position model. Lineage: Bacteria; Pseudomonadati; Pseudomonadota; Alphaproteobacteria; Hyphomicrobiales; Rhizobiaceae. The record is from RNAcentral.
AGGCUUAACACAUGCAAGUCGAGCGCCCCGCAAGGGGAGCGGCAGACGGGUGAGUAACGCGUGGGAAUCUACCUUUUGCUACGGAAUAACGCAGGGAAACUUGUGCUAAUACCGUAUGUGUCCUUCGGGAGAAAGAUUUAUCGGCAAGAGAUGAGCCCGCGUUGGAUUAGCUAGUUGGUGGGGUAAAGGCCUACCAAGGCGACGAUCCAUAGCUGGUCUGAGAGGAUGAUCAGCCACAUUGGGACUGAGACACGGCCCAAACUCCUACGGGAGGCAGCAGUGGGGAAUAUUGGACAAUGGGCGCAAGCCUGAUCCAGCCAUGCCGCGUGAGUGAUGAAGGCCCUAGGGUUGUAAAGCUCUUUCACCGGAGAAGAUAAUGACGGUAUCCGGAGAAGAAGCCCCGGCUAACUUCGUGCCAGCAGCCGCGGUAAUACGAAGGGGGCUAGCCGUUGUUCGGAAUUACUGGGCCGUAAAGCGCACGUAGGCCGGAUCGAUCAGUCAGGGGUGAAA